RNAcentral lists this ribosomal RNA (659 nucleotides) under uncultured bacterium. Its description in RNAcentral is "bacterial SSU rRNA". It matches the Rfam family "Bacterial small subunit ribosomal RNA", at positions 54 to 714 of the family's 1533-position model. The record is from RNAcentral.
CAUGCAAGUCGAACGAAGAACCCCCUCUGGGUAACCAAAGGGGAAUUCUUAGUGGCGAACGGGUGAGUAACACGUGAGAAACCUGCCCCGGAGACCGGGAUAGCCCAGGGAAACCUGGAUUAAUACCGGAUACCCUCGAUUGGUCGCAUGUCCGAUCGAGGAAAAGGUCCGCUGCUCCGGGAUGGUCUCGCGUCCUAUCAGCUAGUUGGUGAGGUAACGGCUCACCAAGGCAACGACGGGUAGCUGGUCUGAGAGGACGAUCAGCCACACUGGGACUGAGACACGGCCCAGACUCCUACGGGAGGCAGCAGCAGGGAAUUUUGCACAAUGGGCGCAAGCCUGAUGCAGCGACGCCGCGUGGGGGAUGAAUGCCUUCGGGUUGUAAACCCCUUUCAGGAGGGACGAAGCGAAAGUGACGGUACCUCCAGAAGAAGCCCCGGCCAACUACGUGCCAGCAGCCGCGGUAAUACGUAGGGGGCGAGCGUUGUCCGGAUUUAUUGGGCGUAAAGAGCUCGUAGGCGGCUCAGCAAGUCGGCCGUGAAAGCCUGAGGCUCAACCUCAGGACGCCGGUCGAAACUGCUGUGGCUAGGGUUCGGUAGAGGAGAGUGGAAUUCCCGGUGUAGCGGUGAAAUGCGCAGAUUUCGGAAGGAACACCAGUG